GACGAACGCUGGCGGCGUGCUUAACACAUACAAGUCGAACGAUGAAGAAGAGCUUGCUCUUCGGAUUAGUGGCGAACGGGUGAGUAACACGUGACUAACCUGCCCCUUUCUCUGGGAUAACGCUCCGAAAGGAGUGCUAAUACCGGAUACUCACAUCGAGGCACAUGCCUUGAUGUGGAAAGUUUUUCGGAAAGGGAUGGAGUCGCGGCCUAUCGGCUUGUUGGUGAGGUAACGGCUCACCAAGGCGACGACGGGUAGCCGGCCUGAGAGGGCGACCGGCCACACUGGGACUGAGACACGGCCCAGACUCCUACGGGAGGCAGCAGUGGGGAAUAUUGCACAAUGGGCGAAAGCCUGAUGCAGCGACGCCGCGUGAGGGAUGAAGGUCUUCGGAUUGUAAACCUCUUUCAGUAGGGACGAAGCGAAAGUGACGGUACCUAAAGAAGAAGCACCGGCUAACUACGUGCCAGCCGCCGCGGUAA
RNAcentral lists this ribosomal RNA (482 nucleotides) under uncultured bacterium. RNAcentral describes it as "partial 16S ribosomal RNA". It matches the Rfam family "Bacterial small subunit ribosomal RNA", at positions 28 to 523 of the family's 1533-position model. The record is from RNAcentral.